GACGAACGCUGGCGGCGUGCUUAACACAUGCAAGUCGAACGGAAAGGCCCUGCUUUUGUGGGGUGCUCGAGUGGCGAACGGGUGAGUAACAAGUGAGUAACCUGCCCUUGACUUUGGGAUAACUUCAGGAAACUGGGGAUCAUAUCCGAUAGGAGCUCCUGCUGCCUGGUGGGGGUAGGAUCGUUUCGGCGGUUGGCGGUGGACUCGCGGUUUAUCAGCCUGUUGGGGGGGUUGUGGCUUACCCAGGCCUUGACGGGUUGCCGGCCUGGGAGGGGUGCCGGCCACAUUGGGACUGAGGGACGGAGCAGAGUCCUACAGGGGGCAGCAGUGGGGAAUAUUGCACAGUGGGCGGAAGCGUGAUGCGGCAACGCCGCGUGCGGGAUGACGGCCUUCGGGUUAUAAACCGCUUUCGCCUGUGACGAAGCGUGAGUGACGGUAAUGGGUGAAGAAGCACCGGCUAACUACGUG
This 468-nucleotide ribosomal RNA is filed under the name uncultured bacterium. RNAcentral's name for it is "partial 16S ribosomal RNA". It matches the Rfam family "Bacterial small subunit ribosomal RNA", at positions 28 to 507 of the family's 1533-position model. The record is from RNAcentral.